GGCAGUUUGGCGUAGUGGUUUGAGUGUUGCAUUAGGACUCUGGAGACCAGGGUUCAGGUCCCUGCUCAGCCA
Molecule: transfer RNA, 72 nt
Filed under: Phrynosoma platyrhinos (Desert horned lizard)
Lineage: Eukaryota; Metazoa; Chordata; Lepidosauria; Squamata; Phrynosomatidae
Description: tRNA-OTHER
Source: RNAcentral